GAUUUCCCAUAGCGUAAGCUAGUAAGACCCCUUGAAGACUACAAGGUUGAUAGGUCAGAGGUGUAAGUGUGGCAACAUAUUUAGCUGACUGAUACUAAUAGGUCGAGGGCUUGACCAAUAA
RNAcentral lists this ribosomal RNA (121 nucleotides) under Clostridium botulinum. RNAcentral describes it as "partial 23S ribosomal RNA". It matches the Rfam family "Bacterial large subunit ribosomal RNA", at positions 2808 to 2925 of the family's 2925-position model. The record is from RNAcentral. Lineage: Bacteria; Bacillati; Bacillota; Clostridia; Eubacteriales; Clostridiaceae.